Molecule: ribosomal RNA, 278 nt
Filed under: uncultured bacterium
Lineage: Bacteria
Description: partial 16S ribosomal RNA
Rfam family: Bacterial small subunit ribosomal RNA
Source: RNAcentral
ACGCCUACGGGGGGCAGCAGUAGGGAAUUUUCGUCAAUGGGCGCAAGCCUGAACGAGCGAUGCCGCGUGAGUGAAGAAGGCCUUCGGGUCGUAAAGCUCUGUUGCGGGGGAAAAAAGGCAGCAUCAGGAAAUGGGUGCUGACUGAUGGUGCCCCGCCAGAAAGUCACGACUAACUACGUGCCAGCAGCCGCGGUAAUACGUAGGGGGCGAGCGUUAUACGGAAUGAUUGGGCGUAAAGGGUGCGCAGGCGGUGCAGCAAGUCUGGAGAGAAAGGCGUG